RNAcentral lists this ribosomal RNA (398 nucleotides) under uncultured Faecalibacterium sp. RNAcentral's name for it is "bacterial SSU rRNA". It matches the Rfam family "Bacterial small subunit ribosomal RNA", at positions 355 to 769 of the family's 1533-position model. The record is from RNAcentral. Lineage: Bacteria; Bacillati; Bacillota; Clostridia; Eubacteriales; Oscillospiraceae.
UGGGGAAUAUUGGGGCAAUGGACGCAAGUCUGACCCAGCGACGCCGCGUGGAGGAAGAAGGUCUUCGGAUUGUAAACUCCUGUUGUUGGGGAAGAUAAUGACGGUACCCAACAAGGAAGUGACGGCUAACUACGUGCCAGCAGCCGCGGUAAAACGUAGGUCACAAGCGUUGUCCGGAAUUACUGGGUGUAAAGGGAGCGCAGGCGGGGAGACAAGUUGGAAGUGAAAUCUAUGGGCUCAACCCAUAAACUGCUUUCAAAACUGUUUUUCUUGAGUAGUGCAGAGGUAGGCGGAAUUCCCGGUGUAGCGGUGGAAUGCGUAGAUAUCGGGAGGAACACCAGUGGCGAAGGCGGCCUACUGGGCACCAACUGACGCUGAGGCUCGAAAGUGUGGGUAGC